GCAGUAGCCGCGGGAAUACGGAGGGUGCAAGCGUUAAUCGGAAUUACUGGGCGUAAAGCGCACGCAGGCGGUCUGACAAGUCAGAUGUGAAAUCCCCGGGCUUAACCUGGGAACUGCAUUUGAAACUGUCAGGCUGGAGUCUUGUAGAGGGGGGUGGAAUUCCAGGUGUAGCGGUGAAAUGCGUAGAGAUCUGGAGGAAUACCGGUGGCGAAGGCGGCCCCCUGGACAAAGACUGACGCUCAGGUGCGAAAGCGUGGGGAGCAAACAGGAUUAGAUACCCGUGUAGUCCCUGUCUCUUAUAC
RNAcentral lists this ribosomal RNA (302 nucleotides) under uncultured bacterium. Its description in RNAcentral is "partial 16S ribosomal RNA". It matches the Rfam family "Bacterial small subunit ribosomal RNA", at positions 508 to 807 of the family's 1533-position model. The record is from RNAcentral.